CUGACAACGCCUAUCAGUUCAUGCUGACUGACAGAGAGAACCAGUCUGUCCUGAUUACUGGAGAAUCUGGUGCUGGAAAGACUGUGAACACCAAACGUGUCAUCCAGUACUUUGCCACAGUUGCA
This is a long non-coding RNA of Sinocyclocheilus rhinocerous, 125 nucleotides long. RefSeq lists it as uncharacterized. NCBI's taxonomy places the organism in Eukaryota, Metazoa, Chordata, Actinopteri, Cypriniformes, Cyprinidae. The record is from RefSeq and is a predicted model, not a curated record. The transcript is spliced from 3 exons.